Molecule: ribosomal RNA, 507 nt
Filed under: uncultured bacterium
Lineage: Bacteria
Description: bacterial SSU rRNA
Rfam family: Bacterial small subunit ribosomal RNA
Source: RNAcentral
AUUGAACGCUGGCGGCAGGCCUAACACAUGCAAGUCGAGCGGCAGCACAGAGGAACUUGUUCCUUGGGUGGCGAGCGGCGGACGGGUGAGUAAUGCCUGGGAAAUUGCCCUGAUGUGGGGGAUAACCAUUGGAAACGAUGGCUAAUACCGCAUGAUGCCUACGGGCCAAAGAGGGGGACCUUCGGGCCUCUCGCGUCAGGAUAUGCCCAGGUGGGAUUAGCUAGUUGGUGAGGUAAUGGCUCACCAAGGCGACGAUCUCUAGCUGGUUUGAGAGGAUGAUCAGCCACACUGGAACUGAGACACGGUCCAGACUCCUACGGGAGGCAGCAGUGGGGAAUAUUGCACAAUGGGGGAAACCCUGAUGCAGCCAUGCCGCGUGUGUGAAGAAGGCCUUCGGGUUGUAAAGCACUUUCAGUAGGGAGGAAGGCGUGGUCGCUAAUAUCGGCUACGUUUGACGUUACCUACAGAAGAAGCACCGGCUAACUCCGUGCCAGCAGCCGCGGUAAA